This 344-nucleotide ribosomal RNA is filed under the name Clostridium perfringens. Its description in RNAcentral is "partial 23S ribosomal RNA". It matches the Rfam family "Bacterial large subunit ribosomal RNA", at positions 1799 to 2142 of the family's 2925-position model. The record is from RNAcentral. Lineage: Bacteria; Bacillati; Bacillota; Clostridia; Eubacteriales; Clostridiaceae.
ACUGUUUAGCAAAAACACAGGUCUCUGCUAAAGCGUAAGCUGAUGUAUAGGGGCUGACGCCUGCCCGGUGCUGGAAGGUUAAGGGGAACACUUAGCGCAAGCGAAGGUGUGAACUUAAGCCCCAGUAAACGGCGGCCGUAACUAUAACGGUCCUAAGGUAGCGAAAUUCCUUGUCAGGUAAGUUCUGACCCGCACGAAUGGCGUAAUGACUUGGGCACUGUCUCAACUGUAAAUCCGGCGAAGUUGUAGUGCGAGUGAAGAUGCUCGCUACCCGCGAUUGGACGGAAAGACCCCGUAGAGCUUUACUGUAGCUUAGCAUUGAGUUUUGGUAUUGUCUGUACAGG